GUCACUGUGGCGUAGUUCUUAGCGUGUUGGACUAGAAGUGCAGAGACCUGGGUUCAAAUCCCCAUGCAACCACU
This is a non-coding RNA of Podarcis lilfordi (Lilford's wall lizard), 74 nucleotides long. The record is from the annotation of a GenBank genome assembly. Lineage: Eukaryota; Metazoa; Chordata; Lepidosauria; Squamata; Lacertidae.